GGAGGGGUUCCAUGGAGGGGUGAAGGACCUUUAAUACGCACUGAGAGUCGGCUCAGCAGCUCAGGUACGGUGGAAGAAAGGGAUGAUUUUUAGAAAUGUUUUAUUUCCUGCCUUCAGUCCAACCGCACAUUAAUGUGAGUGUGUUUUCUGCAGAGCUCCAAACCGAUGUAAAAACUUGAUGUUAUUUUUAUUUCAUGUUGCUUUUAAGAACCUUGUUGAUAUGUGUGUUAUGUUUGUUAUAUUAAUACGCACAAAAAACAGCCACUCUUCCAGCCAAAUAAAGGAGUGGUGUCUUCCAUAGUAAUCAAACUGUACAAACCAAAGAAGAAGUGCCUGAGUAUGAAUAAAUAGUUAGAUAACUGAUGUAACUGUUCGUGUGUGGAGAGUAACACUAAUAUAAAAGAACACAACAGGCUCCCUCGUGUGGAUCAGUGGUGUAGUGCAGAUGUAUUGGGUGAAGCAGCAGGUGUGCAUGCACCUUCACAGAAGGAACACAUGUGGCUGCAGUGUUCUUCAGUUCAUUUAUUUUUAGCGUCUCCUACUGGCCGGGUAGAGGAGGAGGAGAGGCAGUACAUAGGAAGACAGAUGUUGUUAUAAAGCGAGCUGAAGCACACAGAUAACAUGCGGGAAGCAGGGAAAAGAACGGCUUCAAAAUGAAAUAAAACUCACCGUUUACCAUCGGCUGUGCCGCCUACGUCUUGCCAGGAUUCAGAAAGCAGAUGUGAGCAGACAGACCUGGACUGAGGCUGACAGCUGUUUGCAGUCAAAGUUCCAGGGCCUUGGCAGUUUGUCAUUUAAGAGCUUCCACCAGAGGACGCUGUCCGCCUCCUCGUCACCUCCAACAGCCGGGUAACCUGCUAUGCUGCUGCCUUCGUCCUGAUUGGAGCUGUGCGCCUCCACAGGUGGGAAAUACUGAAUGUGUAAUAAUACACACACUGUGGCUGUGCGGCGAUAGAAAAGUAUUUCCUGCUUCUCUUAUGGCCUCUGCACACAACCAAGAGCUGAUGUGUGAAAUGCAGAAUACUCCCACUCUGCAUCAUCUUCAUCAUCAUUAUCAUCAUCAUCAGGUUCCCUGCGGAUUGUCUAAUGACAAACUGAAUGUUGUUGUUAUUUGAUCCAAUGCCAAAAAACAAAACAAAAGCAUGAUGGUGCUGUUAUUAAGUUAUUUUACAACCUUCACUGUACGUUGUUUUUUUUAAGCUCCAUUUAAAUCCAUAUUAUGGCAAGAACUCUCAACUCAGUAAAGACACACAGCAGUCCAUCAUUACUUCAAGACAUGAAGGUCAGGCAGCCCGGAAACUUUUAAGGACUUUAAAAAA
Molecule: long non-coding RNA, 1319 nt
Organism: Parambassis ranga (Indian glassy fish)
Lineage: Eukaryota; Metazoa; Chordata; Actinopteri; Ambassidae
Source: Ensembl